RNAcentral lists this ribosomal RNA (198 nucleotides) under uncultured bacterium. RNAcentral describes it as "partial 16S ribosomal RNA". It matches the Rfam family "Bacterial small subunit ribosomal RNA", at positions 328 to 539 of the family's 1533-position model. The record is from RNAcentral.
ACGCUCGACACCUACGGGAGGCAGCAGUGGGGGAUAUUGCACAAUGGAGGAAACUCUGAUGCAGCGACGCCGCGUGAGGGAAGAAGGUUUUCGGAUUGUAAACCUCUGUCUUCGGUGACGAAAAUGACGGUAGCCGAGGAGGAAGCCACGGCUAACUACGUACCAGCAGCCGCGGUAAUCUGAGCGGGCUGGCAAGGC